This is a long non-coding RNA of Pseudopipra pipra, 855 nucleotides long. RefSeq lists it as uncharacterized. NCBI's taxonomy places the organism in Eukaryota, Metazoa, Chordata, Aves, Passeriformes, Pipridae. The record is from RefSeq and is a predicted model, not a curated record. The transcript is spliced from 3 exons.
AUUUUUCUUCCUACCAGGCUAUUGAGCACUAUCGCUCUUCAGCUGGGAUCACUUAUUUCUUUUUCUUUCUAAAAGCAAAUGGUAAAAUUAAAGAUAAGAGCAUUGUUACUGAUUAUUUCUGCUUCCUGUUUCUAUCAGGAAAAGUCUUAUUAAAUUACCACUGGUGCAAAGGCAGCCAUCUGUUUUCCCUGAUUGUAACUUCACCAUGUCCACCUGUAUCCUGUAUAAUCCUGCUGUUGUGGUCCCUUGGGGAGAUAUAAAUUUUGCUGUCUGGUUCACUUUGUCUCUUUCCAAUCGACAGAUAAACAGAAAUGGGAAGAAUUUUAUCACCGAAACACUUCACUGGAAACUCCAGUUUUUUUCCAGCUGAUAUUUCCCUGAGCAUUGAUCAUUGGAAAAGCAUUGACAGCUCUUUAGGUGGGAAGAUCCCUGUACCCACGUCGUGGAUCUGAACAUCUCUGAGUGACCAGCAUUAGACCCCUGCAGGACUGCAAGUUCUGUUUGCCUUAAAAAGGAAAAGGAUGACAACUGAUAUAUUUAUAUAUAGGAGAGUCUGCCCAUCUUAUUUGAAGACUGCAAGAAAUUAUUCAAGCUUCAAGCAACCCUUUGCUUCGUAUUUUCAGGAAGAAAAUCAGCAAAUUGAAAAUCUUCUCGCCUUUCACAGGAAGGAUGUUGCAAAGAAGAAGAAAAAAGACUGAUGAGGAUGAAGACAUGAAGAAAAGAAACUUAUUUUCUUGAGAAAGAAUCUCCUAAUUUUGGAGAUAAACAGUCAUUUUACUUGUAAGUAACUUAUACAAGGUGGGUUUAUGCAGUGUUGUGCUUUGACCUAUGUCAAAAUUGGAUAAAAAGCCAAGA